AGAUCGCUGUUGUCCAGUUGUGUGUGUUGUGCGCUGUGUUGUUACCUUUGUUUUUUUCCUUCAAACUUUGUUUACCUCGGCUACAGAAGUUGUCGGUUCAUUUCGUCGUUGGGUUAUUUUUAAUUUUUUUUCAUUUCCAAAACGCUCGCGUUUAUUUUUUUAUUCAGCAUCGCAGUGCAUUGUUGAUAUAGAGAGAAAGAGAGAGCUCUUUGUUGAGUACAUGUGUUAAGGAAUUGAAAUAUUUAAAAAAAGAGAGAAAUUAAAUUAAAAACAUUAUUUAAAAAAAAAACAUUUUUACCUCAACGGAAGUAGCAAGGAGAUAGAGAAAUCUUGACACAAUGACCGUUGGCGGAGAAGACCGAAAACUGUUUGUUGGUAUGUUGAACAAAUCCCAGACCGAAGAAGACGUGAGACAACUCUUUCACUCCUACGGAACCAUCGAGGAGUGCACCAUCCUGAGAGACCAGAGCGGCAACAGCAAAGGUUGUGCUUUUGUGAAGUUCUCGAACCACCAAGACGCGGUCGCCGCGAUCAACGCUUUGCACGGGAGCCAGACGAUGUCGGGCGCCUCCUCUAGUCUUGUAGUAAAGUUUGCCGACACAGAGAAAGAAAGACAACUCCGCCGCAUGCAGCAAAUGGCCGGACCCCUUGGACUACUAAACCCCUUCGCUCUCGGUGGCUACAGUGCCGCAUAUGCUCCGGUGGAGUCACCAUACGAACUGGCCCGCGUAGGCUCAUUCGAGACCCUGGCACCACAGCCUGUCUACACCAAACAGUCAGCUGCUCUCCAGUCUCAGCAGCUCAUGCAACAACAAGCUGCGAUCAUGGCAGCAGCUCAAACACCUUACCUAACCAACCCCGUAAGCAUGCUGUCCACUCAGGUCCAACAGCUGACCAGUCUACCAGCCGCUCCCAACGGAUUGGUCUCCACAGCAAUCACACCCACCACAGCAACUCUUGGAAGUGACUAUGCUAAUGCAUGGCAGUUUCACUGGCGUGAGGGACAACCGGAAAAAAUCAAGAAUUUGGAGCACCAUUAUUCCGAUGUGAGGAUAGCAUUUUCAUGUACCCCUACACCAACUAUAAAUGGUGCCCCUCCAAGUAUGCUGUCCCCAACUGCCAUGGCAUCCUUUCCCAUGCCACCAACUAACGGGGCAGCAGAAAUCUACACCAACGGCAUUCCGCAUUACACAGGUUUGUAUUCAGUAACGAACGGUGACCCGCUUCAAGCGUAUGCUGCAAUUCCAUCCUACGCUGGCAUUGCAGCCUACCCCGCAGUCUACGGUGGAUUCCAGCAGUUAACCCAGCCCACAACUCUGGUGCCAACAGCCCAGAAGGAAGGGCCAGAAGGCUGCAACCUCUUCAUCUACCACCUCCCCCAGGAGUUUGGGGAUGGCGAACUCGCUCAGAUGUUUGUCCCGUUUGGCAAUGUUAUCAGUGCUAAAGUUUAUGUGGACAGAGCGACAAAUCAGAGCAAGUGCUUCGGUUUUGUAAGCUUUGAUAACCCAGCUAGCGCUCAGACUGCCAUUCAGGCAAUGAAUGGGUUCCAGAUUGGCAUGAAGCGUCUAAAGGUUCAACUGAAGCGCCCUAAAGAUGCCAAUCGUCCUUAUUAACAGCAGGAGAGAACAUCUUACAGCCGUCAUGUGACUCAUGUUAUGCCCCUUUUUUACGCAGGCUUGUGCCUCCGCCUCGUGAUUGGACGGCAUUCCUGCCAAUCACCCAACUUUAGCCACUUCUUCUCCAUCAGUGCGGUAUGAUGCUUGUUUACUGGACAUGAAAAUGUUGGAGGAAAUGUUUUAAAAUUAAAAAAAAGUAAUAACCAAGCGAUGCUGAAUGAAAUGAUUUAUUUAUAGAGCAGCGACUUCGUUAUGUUUCAAUUACCUUAUCUCUUUAUAGUUAUAAUUUAUCACACUUAAAUAAUACAAUGACAAUAUUUUCAGUCAUUUGAUGGCUAUAUUUUGUUUUGCCUGUCAGCCAUUUCAUUUUAUCCUGUAAAAAUAUGUCCUUAUGAUUUUAAAACUUUGCUUUAGAUUUGAAUUAGACAUGUUUUUACUGUAUACAAAGUAGUAAUCUAAACAACUAUAUACUUCUUGUGUGUUUAUUUUACUAAUAUUAUAGAAUAAUGUAAAUUGGCAGUUUUUAUCUUUAUCUGAUGGUCAGGAAAAAUAAUAAGACACCUAAAUUAAAUCCCCUUUUGAAAUCCAUUUUUAAAAACUUUUUAUGAGUUUUCAAUGUAUUGAGUAUUGGAAAUUAGAAAAAUAAAUCCAGUUUUGUUUUGUUUCCUUGCAAUGAUUGAAAACCUGCUAGUCAGUUUAUACUGCCAUUUGAUAACUUUUUAAUUUUUCUCUUUUACACUUUGAAGCACGAUUUUUUUAGUCACACAAUGCUUUCAUUUUAUAUGCUUGUCGGAUUGCGCUUUUAAAAAUUGUACAUUUUUAACACUUUCAUUUAAAGCAUAUUUUGCUGUGUCUCAUUGUUAUUAGGUUUAAAUGCUGUGCAUUAUUUUAGCAAAAUCAGCUAGACAAAAAUUUUAAAAUUCUAUUGAUAUAGGCAAGAGUUUGAAUUUUAAAAUUGCUACUUUAAUAUAUUUUGCUUUAUCGUUCCAUUUUUAAAAUUUUGUGUAGGUUUAGUUCUACUAUAGGAGGCAGUGUUGUACAUUUUAUUUCAAAUUUGAUGGAGUCUAAACGAUCAAUACACCAGCUUUUAAAAAUAAAUAGCUUGGUGGAAUUGUGGUAAAUGUAAAAAGAGUAAUUUUGUGAGAGUAGCUAUACUAAGUUGCAUUCUUGUCAACUAUGACAUUUUGAUGUAUUGUUUGUGUUCUAAAAACAUGACUACUUAAUGAAACAAAUCUAAACAUUUCCAUAUUUAUAACAAUGAUGACUAUUAACUGUUAUUGCUUUAAAGAUGUAAAAAGAAUUAUGAAGAAUAAUUUUAAAAUACAAGUUAUAUUAUUUACCAAUUUUAACAGAAUACCUUGACCUUUAACCUGUCUGUCCUGUACCUUCCUCUAUGGAGCAGUAUCCUGAAUAACUCAUUUAUGUCUUACCCAUGCUGUGUACUGUUCUAAAACACACAAAAAAAUUUAAUCAUCACCUCCGCAUUCUCUUUCCUUCAUAUUCUAAUUUGAAUGAUAAUAUCCAGCGCAAAGUAUGUAUAUAAUAUAUAAAUAACUGCCCAAAUACCACUUUUUUCUCACUGCGUUGGGCUGUCUAAUUUAUUUAUGUACUUAAGAGCUCAAACGAGCAAAUUUAUUUUUGCCCCAAUGGUGUAUACAUUUGUUCUAUAUUAAUUAAAUGCUUUUAUCAUGUUAUUUGAUUGAUAAUUUUUUUCUUGGCUUUAUUCCUUUGAUAAUAACUUUUCAAAAACCUUACUUUAACAGUAUCAAAACAAUGCCUACAUCUGAAAGGUUAUCAUUGUUUUCAUACCCACAAAAAUAAUAAUUCUUUUAUACAAUGCUUACAAUUUACACUUAGGUGAAAUUUUCUAUUUGGAGACGUGGAUUCCUCGUGUUAACUUCAAAUAAUAAAAGAGAUUCUACAAUUGUUUUUAAAGUUUGGCUUCUAUAUACAAAACCACUAAUAUCACGAAUUGGUAAUAAAAUUAAUAGGCAAAAUACUAAACUUACUUUUGGAUAAAUAGUUAUUUUGGAAAACUUCUGUAAAAAAAACUGUAUUGUUCAUUAUUCUGAACAGAAAAAGGCAAAUGUUAGUCUGAAACAAGUCUCCAAUGUAAUUGAAACUGUAAUAUAGAUUUAAUGAUGCAUAUUUUUCAUUAUGAUACUGUUUAAAUGCUACAAUGACUUAUUCCCCUGUUGCUCAAAAUGAUGAGUUUUUAUGACUGAAUUUUUUUUAAAAGGUUCUAUUGAAUUACAUGUGGAUUAUAUGGAUUUGAAUUUUUUUUUUCUUUAAAAUUCACCAUGACCUUGAGUAUUGUGAACUAUCAGAACUACUUGAAAAUAGGAAAAUUCUAAAACCCACAGCUUCAGUUUCUACUCUUUUUUGCUACAUUUUUAUUUUGCUGAAAUGCAUUUUAAAGGCUAAAAUGUGUUAUAAAAAGUCAAUACUUAUUUGAAAAAUUGAACUUUUAUAAACCAGUGGGUACAUAUUUGGCUGUUAUGCUCAGUCAGUCAGUUUUUAAAUGCUGCAAACUGUGGUGACUUUUUUUAUAUCAAAUCUUCUCCUCAAGUAAUAGCUUGAAGCUUUGCGUCAGUAACUUUAAAAUAGCGAGAUAUCACUAUGUAGAAUAUACAUUAGUGAAAAUAGGGGUAAGCAUUUAGCACAUGUACAUUUCUGUUUUAAAAGAACAAUUUCCUUUUAAAUUUCAUAUCAUAUAACCUAUUUUUAUCAUUUCUAUUUAAUGCAUAACCUAUGUAUAUUUGGAUAUGUACUUUUAUAAAAUGGCCCAAUUGAUACCUAUGAUUUCCAUGGAGAACUGUAAAAUAUUAAAAUAUAGUUGCCACUUUCAUUGUUAUAAUUUAAAUCUCUCUCUCUCUCUCUCCAUCAGUAACACAAACUGAACUUUAAAAAAAAAAAUUCUAAUAUACUUUGCUGUUUAAAGAACUACUUAUUUUGGGAACUUUGUCAUAUACAGUUUGAGUGUCUGCACAUUUUUUAUUUAGUACCUGCUAAAAAAACAGCAAUAAUGCAGUAGGCCUGAAGAAUAAUUACGAACAUCUCAAAUUUUUAACUGUUAAUAUUGGGGUCCAACAUUUUAUGAUUUCUUUUUUUUUAAUAUCCAUUUCUUGUUUGAUCACUUUUCUAAGUACAUUUUUUUUAUUGGCAUUAGUUUAUUUUUCUAAUCAUUUUCAUUACAAAGCAUAUCAUGACAGUUCAUUAUAAAUAUAUCUAUCUCUAUAUAAGACUAUAUAUACACCAUAUGUUCAAUCAUUUUUAAUAUUUUUUAAAAACCUUUUUUUCCCAAUAUUUAUUAUUAAAUAAGACAUAUCUCAUUUAUAAUAUCAUUUUUGCUACUAAGAACUCCAGGAUUACAUUGUUAUAUAUUCCUAAUCCCAUCCUUUUAUGCUUUUCACCUUUAUUUUUGGGCUUGGCUUGAUUUGAUAAUCUUAUAAAAAUUUGGAUUCCCAAGUCCGCAACCUUUUUAUUGCUGUUUUCAUCCAAUUUUAUAGUGUUGUUAAAUAGUUUCUUUUUAAUCAUCGCCAAAAAAAAAAAUAUUUCACAUUACACUUAAAACUUAAUUCAACAUGUUUUUUUUUUUUACUUCGAGCCCUUGCUUUCAAUUUGUUUUGAGGGAAAGUGCAAUAAUUUCAGCUGACCUCAGUGUGAAAACAUGUGUUUUCUUUUCAAGUGUUCACUUUAUUGCUAGUAUUAUUUUCAUUAUGUAAUCUACAACUUUCAGGUAUUAAGGCUAGGCUUGUUUGUUUUUUUGCUAUUUUUUUAUCACUCUGAUGAGUCAACAGUUUAAAAAAUCAGUUGAUAAAGCUGAACCCUUACCAAAUUGAGCGAAGCUGUGAGUAAGCUUCAACGCCUGACCACACGCAGUACUGAAAAUCACAUUGACCACUUACCCUCUUUGUAAAAUAGCUGGAAUGUUAUCCUCCAUCCCCCUGAAUCUACUUAAACAGUUAGUGUAUAUCAUUACCAAAUUGCCCAGUGAAAAUAACUUAUCUUGUACAGAGGUAUAAACUUUUUAUUAUUGCCAAAAUCCUGAGCACAAUUUCCAUCUAAAUAAUUGAAAGAUGAUUUUUACAUAUUUUUUUUACUCAGGUAGCUAAUUAUGUUUCAUUUUAAUUAAAACAUUAGUGAAUAAAAUGAUCGUCAAUUUUAAUGGUAAUGAUUUCUUGUUUUCUGUUUCAAAAUAUUCUCUCCAAUUUUUUUAAAGUUUUAAAAAAACAAACACAAUAUUCAACUUUGGAUAAUGUUUAUAAUCCCGGAUUUUAUUUUUAGCUUCUAUGUAAGCUAACACCUGUAAAUUAUUUUAGAAUUUAUCCACAUGUAUUAUUACAUUUUAGCCUAGCAUUGUCAUGAGUUUUUUUAAAACAGUUUUUGAAAAAAACUAAAACAGAUUGCAGUAGAUGAAUUUUAGUGUUACUAAAAACUAAUAUAAUAUGUAUACAUAGCUAGUUCAUGGUUUGUCUUUUACAUUUUUUAAAUCUUUUUUUUUUAAUUUAAAGUUUCCAUAUGUUUAAAAAAAAACAAUAUUUGCUUAGACCUAUUUUUGUAUUGUUUGCACAUGCACACCAAUUUUUUAAUUUUAGUAACCAAUUUGAAUUUUACUACCCACAUGCAUCAUAACAAAAACCCUGCCUUCUGUUAAACAAAUACCUUCAAAUCAAAAUAAAUCUACUUACCAUUUCUAUCAUUGAUGAAUAUUGCCAUUAUAACUGGAUAUGUCUCAUAAAGGCUUGGAUUUCUUUUUCAGUUGAAGGGUCGGAUUGUUAUGUUACACCACUGUUCAUUUUUAAUUAGAUUUAAACACUUGUAUAUCUAUAAGGUUACUUAAACCAUUCUUUUAAAUCCAUAUAUGAAAAGUGUUCAUUAACUCCAUCUCGAAAAUGGUUAUAUAUUUUGUAGUUGAAAGAAAAUAUACUGUGCGAAUCAGCAUUUUUUUUCCCAGCCUUAGUGUUUUAGGCACAGCAUUGAAGAAAAAAAAAGUGUUUGUUGCUGUGAAGGUGAUGUUUAGAAAAUUCUGGAAUGUUAAGUGUAAAACAAUAUUACAUUGUACAAAAAUUAUUUCACUUUUGUGAACCUUUAGUAUAAAUGACACUUUUUUUUUUUAAAGGAAAAUAAAAAUCUGUUAGUGUAUUUAACACGUUUGUAUUUGUAGGAUUUAUUUACAGAAGGCGCGACUAAUCAAAUGAUUGAGUAAAGCACUGAUCCCUAUAGUCUUAGAACUGACUGGUAUAUAUCUACUACAGAGUUGUUGCUUUUUAUUUAACACUCAAACAGUUAAGUCACAUAAUUUUAUCAAAGACCUUGUAUUAUAUUAUUAAAAAUGACAAUGACAUUAAAGAUUAUACAACUUUAAA
Physella acuta is the source of this 6985-nucleotide RNA transcript. It is a transcript of the gene named CUGBP Elav-like family member 3-B, with no coding region annotated. The record is from RefSeq and is a predicted model, not a curated record. Lineage: Eukaryota; Metazoa; Mollusca; Gastropoda; Physidae.